Molecule: ribosomal RNA, 403 nt
Filed under: bacterium
Lineage: Bacteria
Description: partial 16S ribosomal RNA
Rfam family: Bacterial small subunit ribosomal RNA
Source: RNAcentral
UGGGGAAUAAUGCACAAUGGGGGAAACCCUGAUGCAGCGACGCCGCGUGAACGAAGAAGGUAUUCGUAUCGUAAAGUUCUGUCCUAUGGGAAGAUAAUGACAGUACCAUAGAAGAAAGCUCCGGCUAAAUACGUGCCAGCAGCCGCGGUAAUACGUAUGGAGCGAGCGUUGUCCGGAAUUAUUGGGCGUAAAGGGUACGGAGGCGGUUUAAUAAGUCGAAUGUUAAAGAUCGGGGCUCAACCCCGCAAAGCAUUAGAAACUGAUAAACCUGAGUAGUGGAGAGGAAAGUGGAAUUCCUAGUGUAGUGGUGAAAUACGUAGAUAUUAGGAGGAAUACCAGUAGCGAAGGCGACUUUCUGGACACAAACUGACGCUGAGGUACGAAAGCGUGGGGAGCAAACAGG